AAGAAGAGAAAAACUUUGUUAACUCUAACCAUUCCGUUUCUUGUUCUUCCUUAUCCGUUCCUCUUCUUCGUUCUCACUGAUAUUUCUUUCCGGAAAGCUAGAGUUUUGCAUACAAAGCGGAUUUUGCACACAACAUCGGGAAUUCAGUAGUUCGGUAGGAUACAAAACAUCCUCAUCUUCAAUGGAGCCUGUCAUCAGGAUAAUGCCAUCUGAACUCAAGAAAGUACAGUAUUGUUAGUUGGUGCCGGUAUACACCUUUCACUUAAGUAACUGUCACAACCUUUUCAUGAAAUCCACAUCUGGUAAUAUGUACUCAUCUGGUAUCUUGAUCCACCCUGGCUCUUCCAUAUUGGUAAGUGCAAUUGACAGUUCCAUUUCCGAGAUCCAGUACCCAUUUACUGAAUUCUUUUGUUUCUUUUGUUGCAGCCGUUACUCCAAAGUCAGAGGCAUUUUCAGUAAGGUUUACCAUUUUGAAAUGGCUCCACAGGUCUGUCCUAUUUAUCCAUGCGUCAAUAAUUACCUCCUUGGUUUCUUUGGGAGUGCUCAUUAAUAUCUGCCUAAAAUCUCCACUAAACAAAAUAGCUUUCCCUCAAAAUACCUUUAUCAGUGUACCCAUAAGAUCUUCGAAUCCCUCAAUAUCGUUUCUUAACCUUUCGGCGCCAGGCUGUUCUGUCUUAUAAGAGGAGCCAAUCAGAGAGCGAUGUCAGGGAUAGUUAGUGCUUACAUGGCUUCACCAAAAUCAAGUGUGAUUGUGGUGCUGACAUGUGGCGACUUGGAGUCCCUAAUUAUAAAGAAAGAUUAUGAGACCUUAGAUAUGUAUAUUACAAUUGUUUGAUUUAUCAAAAUGUGAUAGUACAUUUGUUUCAGUACUAUAUGUCAGUAGCUCACUGGGUGUUGUUUUCUUUGUGUUAGUAAAUUGUUCAAAUUUCAGUUCCAUAGGAUAGAUAUUCAUCAGAAAUGUUGUGUAGUCUCGUGAUUAAAUUUAUCCGGCAACACACAAAACAGUGGACUCACUUUUACUAAUCCCCAUGUUGAGAGGCUUUGUUUUCGACCAUCAGAUCCCCUAUCAGGAUAAAACUCGGGACCAAACGUCGGUGUGUGUAGCACUGCUCCAGCAGACACCCAGACACUAUCCAAUAUACCUUUGAAUAACAAGAUGUGGCCCUGGUUUUAGGCGUUCAUCUAUCUUUGUAUGUGCAUUCAAACCCAUCAUACAGUCUCCUUUUUUGAUUACUAAUUUGAUUGAUGUUAAAUUAUGGAUUACAAUUUUCUGAACUACAUAUGCAUAUAUGUUCUCACACUUGGAUUGAGAUAUGCUUUUUAGGUGUGAUAUAUGUCAAUAUCUGCUACUUCAUCAACUAGUAGUGAAGAAUAUUCUUGUCCAACAGAACGGUUGUUACUCUGUUGUUAGAUUUCGAUGAUAUGUUGAACCCAUGUGGAACGACUCGGUAACUUGUUCAAAGUGAGUGCAUGUGGAACGACUCAGUAACUCGGUAACACUUGUUCCGGUCAUGUGCGCAACAACAAUGAUGAACACCAAAGGGCCUCAUGGUGGGUCUGUUCCUGGAAGGCGUUACAUCCAGCGGAAUAGCAUUCCUUGGCAUAGGCUUAUUAUUCGUGAUUACUUUAAAGGGGAACAAUCGAAGUUAUCAUCUGAGGUCGGUGAUUUUUUUUUUGUUGCGUCGUCACUGCAUCCAUGUUGAUAAACUUUGAAGUGAGUGCAGGUGAGCUGACCAUUCAACAUAGUCUGGCAUGGCACUAGCGAGAACAACGUGUAGAGUUAGUAAGAGGACGUGGAGCAUUUGGUUCAGAAUUAACACAGCGGCAAGAAUACAACCCAUAUCCUUUCUACUUCUGUAAAAUAGAAAACACUUUAACUGAUAAUAUCUCACAUGGAGAUUCUUUCAACUGGUUUUCUUCUGUUAAAAGAAGAAUCUAAUAGUCCUUGAGUUGUAAUAGUCCGUAUAAAGUAGUACCAUUCUGUUUUGGCUCUAGAUACUUUUUGUUCAGAUUUUGGUUUUCCUACUGUGUUUUGUUUUUAGCGGGAUUUUUUUUUUUUUUUUUGUAGGGAACAUAUUCCCUCCAUGUUUUCGGAUUUAAUUUUUUGAUUAUAAUUUUUGUUUUUUGAUUUUAAAUUUUAUCCACAUAUGAAAUUCUAAGGUUUAGAAUUAUUUUAUUUUUGGAGCCGAGUGUUAAUUGAUGUGGCGACACUACACUUGUAUUGGAGAAAAAUGCUAUACAGAGACAAAGGACGAACUAAUUGAGCUCCUCUAGCAAUAGCAUGGAUGCUUUUUCAAACUCUGAUGCAUCAAAAGUGAGCACUUGCCACUCACCUUAUAAACGGGAGAAAUCAAGAGCAGAAGUGGAGAAGAGAGAAUGCAAGUGUAAUCAGCACCAAAAGUUACUAUAUUUGUAAGAUAUGGCAAAGAAAAAUCGGAAAAUCGUAAGAAGAGAUGAUGGGAUGGAUCAUACAAGCAUGUCGCUGUCAACAUUCCAAGUCUUUUGCAAUUCAAGUGUGAAGGGAUAUCAUGUUACCCUACUAUUAACAAUGCAAACAAUCUUACUGAAGCAAAAAUCAGAAUUCUAAAUACUAGAGAGAAUGAGCACGAGUUGCUUUGCAAGCUACUACAGGACCUCCAUAAUGUUGAAGUUCUCACACUUUGCUACCAAAAUCUCGAGGUUCUCGGCGCAAAUGGCAGGAGAAGUUUGCUAACACCGCUUUGCAAUUUGAAGCGUUUAGCCAUAACACUGCUGUGGGUGGAAAAAGACCUUCCGAACCUUAUGUGCUUGUUAAGGAAUUCCCCUUCUUUAGAAGCACUUUCCCUAGAUCUUCAUCGCAUAUAUGAGGGUGCAGAGGGAAUGAUAUCCUCAGUCUAUAACGAGGAUGAAUCAACAGUUCUGGAACCACUUUUACUUCCUUCUGAUUGUGUAAUGCAUCUUACAAAAAUUGAGAUUAAGAACUUUCAAGGCCUAAAAGUUGAAAUGGAGUUUGUUAAGAUUAUGCUCCAGAGCUCACUAUGCUUGAAGGAAAUGGUUAUUUGCAUCAGCUCCAGAUAUGAGCUUCUGAAGCAGAGAAUCGGGGAAGAGCAUAAUGGAGUUUUGCAGAUGAAAAAGGACGCUGCAGUUGAAAAUAUAUUGGCCUGCACAUGCGCGUCACCGGAUGCUCAAAUAUUAAUCUAUUAGGGGAGGUUGUGGCCAUAUACGCUGGAGCCAUCUGAGUAUUGUAAAGCGCUCUAGGAAAGGAGGCAUUCUAUUUUGAGAUCCCGAAUGUCGAAAGGUAUGAUGAGAAUUUCCAUUUUGCUGUAAAAAUGUUAGCAUUCUCAAGAUGUUUUUUUGUUGUUUUGGGGUAAUGUAAUGUUUCUUGCUAAACCAAUAUAACAUGAGGAAUUGGUUCUUGUAAACCCUUUUGUUGUGAGGAAGAAGAGUUUCGAUCAGACUCAACACCAGAGAGAGUGGGAUUCUUGUUUUUAUGGGUAAUG
Molecule: RNA transcript, 3479 nt
Organism: Papaver somniferum (opium poppy)
Lineage: Eukaryota; Viridiplantae; Streptophyta; Magnoliopsida; Ranunculales; Papaveraceae
Gene name: putative F-box/LRR-repeat protein At3g58880
Exons: 8
Source: RefSeq, a predicted model, not a curated record